GGCAAAGACGUGGGGAUACGCACGUGAGGAAGCAGCGGGAUCCUCCGGGCAGACGAGUCAAUGAAGCGGCUCCCAGUCCCGCGCGCGGCUGAGCGGCUGAGCGGCACGGCCGUUCCGGGAAACGGGCCCUUCACGUCCUCUGUGGAGGCCACCGAGAGCCCUCGCACCCCCAGAGGGUGUGCCGCGGGACACCCGCGCGGUACCAGGUGCACCCUUGGAGGCCAGGCUGUCGCUGGUGGAAACGUCCUCGCCGCGCACCGCGGGGCUGCAGUUGAAGGCGGGGGUUGGGUAGGGAGGGGAAACCCGGAGGCACCCGGAGGCCGGUCGGGAUCUGUGGUGGGAGCCUGUGCAGGCGAGGAGGCACCGGGAGGAGGAAGGGACUGUUCGAGGCGAGGCGGGAGAGGAGAGGGGCAGGGCUUGGCUGGGCUGGGUGCUGCCUCUCCUGAAACGCAGAAAGACGAAUGGGAACAGAGUCAGGAAUUUUCAGAAGAAAACAGGAAGAAGUCGUUCGAGCUUGGGUUUCCCCCCCAGCGGACCUGAGGCGAGCAUUUGGGUACAACGGGAGUACGGGGCUCGUGCCUGAGCAGGUGUCCAGAGGGCCACAGGGGCUCAGUCUCGCUGAGGACACUCGAGACCGCGUGGAAUCCGCCGCAGCACUGUCCCCAAGAGGCGAGAAGGUGGGGUGCGCACCCAGCCCGCCCACCGCACCCACAGCCCCGGAAAGCUCCACUGCCCAUACCUCAAUGAAAGCUUCUUAACUCGGGUGAUUCACACCAGCUCCUCGGGGAUUCACAGAAGCAAGAGCCCAGAGAAUGUUGACAGAUGAAAGAGCCCCUGGCCGAAAGCCUGGAGCCAAAGCCUGAGAGGCCCUCUCUCUCUUUCACUCACUGACACAACAAUGUGUGUUUGUUUUGUUUUGUUUUUCUUUUUUUCUUUUU
Molecule: long non-coding RNA, 938 nt
Filed under: Heterocephalus glaber (naked mole-rat)
Lineage: Eukaryota; Metazoa; Chordata; Mammalia; Rodentia; Bathyergidae
Description: lncRNA (ENSHGLG00100036619.1)
Source: RNAcentral